AGUGAACGCUGGCGGUAGGCCUAACACAUGCAAGUCGAACGGCAGCACAGUAAGAGCUUGCUCUUACGGGUGGCGAGUGGCGGACGGGUGAGGAAUACAUCGGAAUCUACUUUUUCGUGGGGGAUAACGUAGGGAAACUUACGCUAAUACCGCAUACGACCUACGGGUGAAAGCAGGGGAUCUUCGGACCUUGCGCGAUUGAAUGAGCCGAUGUCGGAUUAGCUAGUUGGCGGGGUAAAGGCCCACCAAGGCGACGAUCCGUAGCUGGUCUGAGAGGAUGAUCAGCCACACUGGAACUGAGACACGGUCCAGACUCCUACGGGGAGCAGCAGUGGGGAAUAUUGGACAAUGGGCGCAAGCCUGAUCCAGCCAUACCGCGUGGGUUAAGAAGGCCUUUGGGUUGUAAAGCCCUUUUGUUGGGAAAGAAGAGCAGCAGGUUAAUACCCCGCUGUUCUGACGGUACCCAAAGAAUAAGCACCGGCUAACUUCGUG
This 492-nucleotide ribosomal RNA is filed under the name uncultured bacterium. RNAcentral's name for it is "partial 16S ribosomal RNA". It matches the Rfam family "Bacterial small subunit ribosomal RNA", at positions 29 to 507 of the family's 1533-position model. The record is from RNAcentral.